ACAUCAAAUCCCAAGCAAAAAUCAUAUCACCUUAACCAAAUCGAACCCCAGACAAAUCAUAAGUAUCAUAGAUGCUUUUCAAAUAAAACCAAAGACAUAUCGACUUUUCCGGUUCCAUUCUUUCUCCUUUCCCGUUAUUUUCUCUCUUUUUUUUUCUUUUUAUUUUUUCUUUUUUUUUGGACGGGGGAGUAGAAUCGGUUCUCGUCUCACAAAGUGCAUCAACAAAACUCAAUCAUGAUUGCUCACAGCACAUGCUCAUGAAUAUAUAAAUAUAAUCACAAGAACUCAAUGUCAAUCACCCCAAACAACUACAGUUACAAUCCUAAUUAAAGGAAAGCUAUAUCGGUCUGUAUACUCCGUAGUUUUUGCACAUAAUGACAAUGACAAUGACAUACGAAUGCAUGUGGUCUGAAACAUGGAUAGGGCUAAAGGUGUGCUACUAGACUAAAUAUGAGUCUAGCCAUUGAGAGUUUACAAAGAGUGGUAAAAUACGCGAACUAAACUCUGAAUGUAUGAUCCAUUACAUGAUUGCCAACCCCCUAAGUGAGAUAUAACAAGUCAAGAUUAAGUUCAAAUAAGCAAGGUUAAGCUCAAAUCAUCCAAAUUUCUAAGUGAGGGAUUAUACGAGUGAUUAUCAAUAUCAAACAAAACUCCUAACUAAGAUUCUGCAAGAAGAGAUCUAGACAUUUCAGGCAUUGAAAACUUAAACUCGAGAUCAUAAAAAUUCAAAGCACAAUGAUAUUCAAUAUGAAAACAUAUCUCAUGGUAAUCUUUAGCAAGUUUUUCUGCUCUAAUAGUAUCUAGCUGUUGAGACUCACCUAUCAAAUCAUAACAUUCACUGAUAAUCUUGGGAGUAUGCAAACUAGAAUCAACAUCUUCAAUGAAAGGCAUAGAAAAAUCCUCAAAAUCAUGAAUUUCAAAGGUUGAAACGCAUGUACCUUCUAUGUCGCUCGGUGGAACCCAAUAUAUUACAUUUUCAAGAUCAUGGGCUUCUUUGAUCUCAUAGCCUGUGAGUUGCCUUCCUUCAUAUGCUGCCCGCAACGAUAUGAGGUUCAACCGGAUCAUAGUCGCUAAGUCACUCCUUGUCAAUGUUGGAUUGUCCACGUAAAGUUCAUCUAACUUCACUUUUGUUCCGGUGUAAGAACACUCUCAUCAAAUGGUGGCUCUAUAUAUGGCACAUCCUCUUCUUCUUGUGGCCAAUCAUUGAAUUUCAUGGCCAACAACUCCCAAAUCACCAAAAAGAAAUAAAAAUUGUUAGUUAUAAAAAAGUGUAGAGAAAAUGCUCUAGACUAAAAACUAAUCCUAAAUCUUUAAGUAACGCAAUUGCUCUCUGGCAGCGGGGCCAACUUGAUUACUCGAGUAUUUAACCCGAUAUAUUAACCGGAGUAAAGUAUAUGCGGGAUCGAUCACAAGGAGCAAUGGUACACUAAAGACUUGCGAGACUCAUUCUUAGCUAAAGCAGAAAAGACUUGUUGUUUGGUUUUUCAGUUUGUAAAUAAAAAUGCAACAAUAAACUGUGAUGAAACUUAUGAAUUAAGGACAUUGGGAAGCAGGGUAUUUUCAGAGAAUCAAUGAAUAACAAAUAAAAGCGAUAAGGAAUUCAAACAUGAAGAGCCGUUCUUAAACAUGAACACAAGUUUAGACUAACUCUCUCUCAAAACAUUAAUCACUAAAUUUAACUAUUCAAUUACUAAACUCUCAUUUGUAAUUUCAUAGCCAAAUUCACAUUAUCAAACAUGUUCAUUUGGUUCACAAAGCAUUUUAACAUCAACUCUCGCAGGUUAGAAAUAUAAUGCUCAAUUUACAUUCCUUCAGGCAUUUUAUCGAACAUCUCUGAAACACAUAAAAGCCUAAGUUCUAAAACAGGGUGAUCAAUCCUAUUAUAGCAUUGAGAACAUGUAAAUUGAAGAACCUAAAGAUUAAGAAUUCCCUAAGACAUCUAAUCUAUCAAAUCAUUGAAUUCUCCUACUUGAAACCCUAAAACCCAAUUAAGAAACUACUCAAACAUAGCAAAAGAGAAAACAAAAAUCAUAGAUGAAGAAAACAUGAUGAAAUUUCAGAAACAAUAAGAAAGGGUUUAGAAAUCUUCUCCAAGUGUCAAGAGGAUGGAUUCUUCUCCCAAAAUUGUUUAAGAAGCAAAGAACAACGUUUAGAACUCAAAAAUAUGAAGGAUAGCUGCUAAAAAGUCGAGCCUAGGGUAUAAAAACAAUAGGAGACGAUUUGGGUCGGUUAUGAAGUGUUUCGUAUAAAAUAUGGGCCAAAAAAUGCGUCAGAGGUAAGGGACCGAUCGAUCCAAAUGUUAGACGGAUCGGUCUAAUGCUCCCAGGUUUUACUUCUGCAUUAGCUUCAAAAACUCGUCAGAAUGACCUGUCUUCUCAAAAUCAGGCGUAACUCGUGAAUGCACUGUUAGAUGUUCUUGAAAUCACUUGCAAAUAAAAGCUAACACCUGUCUUCAUUUUGUGUCAAAAUAUGAGCAAGAGCUAACGGUCGAAAGUUGUCCAUAUGAUCUCAAACAUCUGACACUUCUACAUGAAUCUGCAUCUCCAAAUGUGUGUUUGCAUCCCAAAACGGCUCAUUUUAUUUCAAAGCAACCUAAAACCUGUAAAGAUUCUAUACUGGACUAAAAGACUCUAAAAACACACUUUGACUCAAUAAAAAUUAUAAAAUUAAAGAGAAAAAAGACUUGUCGAUAAAAACACAAUAUAUCAACUCCCCCCGACUUAGAUUCUUGCUUGUCCUCUAGCAAAACAAAAAUCUUAACCAAGAGAAUAGAUUUGAAAACAUGAGAACUCACAUAUUCUUUUGGGAUCAUGCUCUUAAUCAAUUCCUUGCAAACCACUACCACACAUUUUAUAUUAAACCGUACAAUAAUGUACUUCACCAUGACAUCAUGAGAUCCCUAAAGCACAAAGAACUUUAUAAUCAAAUAAAUUUACCGUUUAACAUUCAUUAGCAGUUUUGGCACUCUCAAAAAGGGAAUAUCGAACACGUUAUGGUCUAGGUGUAAAAGCAGUUUUAGGUGGCUCAAGUGUUUAAGGUUCAGCAGUAAUACGAACGGAUGCAAACAUUAAGCAAAAUCACACUGAGACACAGACCAAUUGGGAGGUACAUAACUUCCCUCUAACUCGGAUCACCUUAACCACAUCAAAUCCCAAGCAAAAAUCAUAUCACCUUAACCAAAUCAAACUCCAGACAAAUCAUAAGUAUCAUAGAUGCUUUUCAAAUAAAACCAAAGACAUAUCGACUUUUCCGGUUCCAUUCUUUCUCCUUUCCCGUUAUUUUCUCUUUUUUUUUUCUUUUUCUUUUUUAUUUUUUUUAGACAGGGGAGUGGAAACGUCUCACAAACUGCAUCAACAAAACUCAAUUAUGAUUGCUCACAACACAUGCUCAUGAAUAUAUAAAUAUAAUGACAAGAACUCAAUGUCAAUCACUCCAAACAACUACAGUUACAAUCCUAAUUAAAGAAAAGCUAUGUCGGUCUGUAUACUCCGUAGUUUUUGCACAUAAUGACAAUGACAAUGACAUACGAAUGCAUGUGGUCUGAAAC
Molecule: long non-coding RNA, 3547 nt
Filed under: Capsella rubella
Lineage: Eukaryota; Viridiplantae; Streptophyta; Magnoliopsida; Brassicales; Brassicaceae
Description: long non-coding RNA (CRUB_LNC000609)
Source: RNAcentral